AGCCUCCCCCAAGUCCUCCGCUGAGUCACCCAGCGGCGGCAGUGACAGCUCAGCUUCCGCUCCUUCCUCCGACGAAUCCGCAUCUUCCCCGUCCUCCGACGAAUCCGCAUCUUCCCCGUCCUCCGGCGACAGCUCUGAGGCCCCGGCGUCUUCUUCCGAUGACUCCGGAAGCGCUCCUGAGGCUGACGUGUCCUCCCCACCUGCCCCCGACGCUG
This 215-nucleotide long non-coding RNA is filed under the name Linum usitatissimum (flax). RNAcentral describes it as "long non-coding RNA (LUSI_LNC000170)". Lineage: Eukaryota; Viridiplantae; Streptophyta; Magnoliopsida; Malpighiales; Linaceae. The record is from RNAcentral.